Ribosomal RNA from Trichophyton interdigitale MR816, 91 nucleotides. The record is from Rfam. NCBI's taxonomy places the organism in Eukaryota, Fungi, Ascomycota, Eurotiomycetes, Onygenales, Arthrodermataceae.
ACAUACGACCACAGGAAGUGGAAAACAGAGCUUCCCGUCCGCUCAGCUGUACUUAAGCCACUUGCCGGUCGGUUAGUAGUUGGGUGGGUGA